This 253-nucleotide ribosomal RNA is filed under the name uncultured bacterium. RNAcentral describes it as "partial 16S ribosomal RNA". It matches the Rfam family "Bacterial small subunit ribosomal RNA", at positions 524 to 776 of the family's 1533-position model. The record is from RNAcentral.
UACGUAGGUGGCAAGCGUUGUCCGGAUUUACUGGGCGUAAAGAGCGCGCAGGCGGUCGGAUAAGUCGAAUGUGAAAGCCCCCGGCUCAACUGGGGAGGGUCAUUCGAUACUGUUCGACUCGAAGGCAGGAGAGGGAAGUGGAAUUCCCGGUGUAGUGGUGAAAUGCGUAGAUAUCGGGAGGAACACCAGUGGCGAAGGCGACUUCCUGGCCUGUUCUUGACGCUGAGGCACGAAAGCGUGGGGAGCAAACAGG